RNAcentral lists this ribosomal RNA (484 nucleotides) under uncultured bacterium. RNAcentral's name for it is "partial 16S ribosomal RNA". It matches the Rfam family "Bacterial small subunit ribosomal RNA", at positions 30 to 507 of the family's 1533-position model. The record is from RNAcentral.
AUUGAACGCUGGCGGCAGGCCUAACACAUGCAAGUCGAGCGGAUGAAGGGAGCUUGCUCCUGGAUUCAGCGGCGGACGGGUGAGUAAUGCCUAGGAAUCUGACUGGUAGUGGGGGAUAACGUCCGGAAACGGGAGCUAAUACCUCAUACGUCCUGAGGGAGAAAGUGGGGGAUCUUCGGACAUCACGCUAUCAGAUGAGCCUAGGUCGGAUUAGCUAGUUGGUGGGGUAAAGGCCUACCAAGGCGACGAUCCGUAACUGGUCUGAGAGGAUGAUCAGUCACACUGGAACUGAGACACGGUCCAGACUCCUACGGGAGGCAGCAGUGGGGAAUAUUGGACAAUGGGCGAAAGCCUGAUCCAGCCAUGCCGCGUGUGUGAAGAAGGUCUUCGGAUUGUAAAGCACUUUAAGUUGGGAGGAAGGGCAGUAAGUUAAUACCUUGAUGUUUUGACGUUACCAACAGAAUAAGCACCGGCUAACUUCGUG